Molecule: long non-coding RNA, 182 nt
Filed under: Ictidomys tridecemlineatus (thirteen-lined ground squirrel)
Lineage: Eukaryota; Metazoa; Chordata; Mammalia; Rodentia; Sciuridae
Description: lncRNA (ENSSTOG00000034205.1)
Source: RNAcentral
CUUGGUACCCUCACUCGUGGUCUGCGCGGGCCAUCCCUGGACUAGGGGACGGUGAGUCUCAGGGGCCUGACCACUGGGCACAGACCCAAAGAAGUAACCAGGAAAGACGCUGCAGGCCAAGGUCACAGCGAGUGCAAAGGCCCCGAGACGGCCCGACCGAGUCUUGCAGGUUGGACCUUCCU